UACGGAGGGUGCAAGCGUUGUUCGGAAUUAUUGGGCGUAAAGAGCGUGUAGGCGGCUUGGUAAGUCAGAUGUGAAAGCCCUGGGCUCAACCCAGGAAGUGCAUUUGAAACUACCAGACUUGAGUACGGGAGAGGAGGGGGGAAUUCCCGGUGUAGAGGUGAAAUUCGUAGAUAUCGGGAGGAAUACCGGUGGCGAAGGCGCCCCUCUGGACCGAUACUGACGCUGAGACGCGAAAGCGUGGGGAGCAAACAGG
This 253-nucleotide unclassified non-coding RNA is filed under the name uncultured Syntrophobacteraceae bacterium. Its description in RNAcentral is "contains 16S-23S intergenic spacer region". It matches the Rfam family "Bacterial small subunit ribosomal RNA", at positions 524 to 776 of the family's 1533-position model. Lineage: Bacteria; Pseudomonadati; Thermodesulfobacteriota; Syntrophobacteria; Syntrophobacterales; Syntrophobacteraceae. The record is from RNAcentral.